AUUGAACGCUGGCGGCAUGCUUUACACAUGCAAGUCGAACGGCAGCACGGGCUUCGGCCUGGUGGCGAGUGGCGAACGGGUGAGUAAUGCAUCGGAACGUACCGUGUAAGGGGGGAUAACGUAGCGAAAGUUACGCUAAUACCGCAUACGCCCCGAGGGGGAAAGUGGGGGACCGCAAGGCCUCACGUUAUACGAGCGGCCGAUGUCGGAUUAGCUAGUUGGUGGGGUAAAGGCCUACCAAGGCGACGAUCCGUAGCGGGUCUGAGAGGAUGAUCCGCCACACUGGGACUGAGACACGGCCCAGACUCCUACGGGAGGCAGCAGUGGGGAAUUUUGGACAAUGGGCGCAAGCCUGAUCCAGCCAUGCCGCGUGAGUGAAGAAGGCCUUCGGGUUGUAAAGCUCUUUCAGGUGGAAAGAAAUCGCACCUUCUAAUACAAGGUGUGGAUGACGGUACCAUCAGAAGAAGCACCGGCUAACUACGUGCCAGCAGCCGCGGUAAUACGUAGGGUGCGAGGGUUAAUCGGAAUUACUGGGCGUAAAGCGUGCGCAGGCGGUUAUGUAAGACAGAUGUGAAAUCCCCGGGCUCAACCUGGGAACUGCGUUUGUGACUGCAUAACUAGAGUACGGCAGAGGGAGGUGGAAUUCCGCGUGUAGCAGUGAAAUGCGUAAAGAUGCGGAGGAACACCGAUGGCGAAGGCAGCCUCCUGGGCCAGUACUGACGCUCAUGCACGAAAGCGUGGGGAGCAGACAGGAUUAGAUACCCUGGUAGUCCACGCCCUA
RNAcentral lists this ribosomal RNA (781 nucleotides) under uncultured bacterium. RNAcentral describes it as "bacterial SSU rRNA". It matches the Rfam family "Bacterial small subunit ribosomal RNA", at positions 28 to 804 of the family's 1533-position model. The record is from RNAcentral.